UUAAUUAAUUAAUCAUACUUGGUUAAACAGGCUAUCUGUUGAGAAGCUAGCUUCCACUGUGCUUUGGAAACUCUCCACUCCAUGCAGCUAUACUGAAACGGAAUCCUGAUUGUCUUAUGUAGGUGUUCAUUCAAUUAUUUCUUUGAUUCUUGCUUUCAUUUUGGACCGUGCUGCUCAUCAUCACAGGACCAUGGCUACUCCACCUGCCUCGCCUCCUCCUCCUCUUCCUCCUCC
Molecule: long non-coding RNA, 234 nt
Organism: Glycine soja
Lineage: Eukaryota; Viridiplantae; Streptophyta; Magnoliopsida; Fabales; Fabaceae
Exons: 3
Source: RefSeq, a predicted model, not a curated record